RNAcentral lists this ribosomal RNA (156 nucleotides) under uncultured bacterium. RNAcentral describes it as "partial 16S ribosomal RNA". It matches the Rfam family "Bacterial small subunit ribosomal RNA", at positions 356 to 504 of the family's 1533-position model. The record is from RNAcentral.
GGGGAAUAUUGCACAAUGGGCGCAAGCCUGGUGCAGCCAUGCCGCGUGUAUGAAGAAGGCCUUCGGGUUGUAAAGUACUUUCAGCGAGGAGGAAGGUGUUGUGGUUAAUAACCGCAGCAAUUGACGUUACUCGCAGAAGAAGCACCGGCUAACUCC